UGCCGAUUCGCGAUCAACCUGCCCCAGCGACUCGGCUACCGUGUGACGACCGACCGUACGCAUCCCGUAUCUUCGUACAUAGGAGUGUGUGGGAAGUCUGCCGAAACACCUUCGAAGGACUCGGCAAAAUUUUGGAUUUUGGCAACAGAGUGGGGAAGUGGCACCAAUAUUGUGACAAAAUGGUGGACGAAGGAGAAAGAUCGCAUGUGUCUGGUGCUGUGGGAUUGUCGGGAUUGGAAUGUCAGGGCUUUUAACAGCAGGAAAAGUGAGAUGUAACGAAAAAGGAAAUCAACUGAAAUCAGGAAGUUUGCCUUGUCUGAAGCUGUGAGCUGGACCUUCUACCAAACAGAGAGUUACAGGAGUCUAUUUUUAAGGAAGACAGAGUCUAAUUUUUCACAACAGAGAGUCUAUUGAGAUCUAUAUAGAAACACCACAACCAAAAUACCUCAAGGAAAAUUCAACAUUGAUUCUGACAAUUAAUGGAAUCAGUAACUGACACUGCCAUAUAUUCUGCAGGACCAAAUAAACUUUCAACAAGGAGAAAUUUAUUUAUUCUUUCUUAAAUGACUGUUUUCAUUCACUGGUACUUUGACUUGUCUGUGAGGAGUAAUAUUUGAGCCAAAAGAAGGUUAUUUGUGAAUUUUAUGCCCUAUUUUUGGAUGUUCUUGUGCUUAUUAUUGGAGAAUGAAAGAUUUGACAACCAUCUUCUGUGGGGUAUCAUCGGUUAUCUGCUGCUGAGGCGAUGCGCCUAAUUCAGAGCACGGAGGAAAACAACAGAAGUGCUUGUUGGAUUGGGACCGUUGCCUUGGCAACGCGAUCAGAGGAACCACUGUGUGAUUUCGCCCUCUCCUGGAUCCGUUGGCGACGAAAUUCGCAAGGAUAUGCAGCUAACACUGGAACUUCC
Strongylocentrotus purpuratus (purple sea urchin) is the source of this 904-nucleotide long non-coding RNA. RefSeq lists it as uncharacterized. Lineage: Eukaryota; Metazoa; Echinodermata; Echinoidea; Camarodonta; Strongylocentrotidae. The transcript has 2 exons. The record is from RefSeq and is a predicted model, not a curated record.